Molecule: long non-coding RNA, 1290 nt
Filed under: Gadus morhua (Atlantic cod)
Lineage: Eukaryota; Metazoa; Chordata; Actinopteri; Gadiformes; Gadidae
Description: lncRNA (ENSGMOG00000032510.1)
Source: RNAcentral
AUGUGUGUUGUCAUGGUAACCGGUGUUGACCACGGCAGGUUAUACAUCAAUAUAAACUCAAACUCCACUCAGGCUCUGCUCAGUGUCAUUCAUUAUUUCACCUUUGUAUAUUUUGCCACUUAUGUGUUGCACCUAGGAGCUGCUCAGUACAACCACAGUGCUUACUGGUGGACCCUGGGAGCUGACCAGUACAACCACAGUGUUUACUGGUGGGAGCUGGGAGCCGACCAGUACAACCACAGUGUUUACUGGUGGACCCUGGGAGCUGCCCAGUACAACCACAGUGUUUACUGGUGGACCCUGGGAGCUGACCAGUACAACCACAGUGUUUACUGGUGGACCCUGGGAGCCGACCAGUACAACCACAGUGUUUACUGGUGGACCCUGGGAGCUGCCCAGUACAACCACAGUGUUUACUGGUGGACCCUGGGAGCUGACCAGUACAACCACAGUGUUUGCUGGUGGGAGCUGGGAGCUGACCAGUACAACCACAGUGUUUACUGGUGGACCCUGGGAGCUGACCAGUACAACCACAGUGUUUACUGGUGGGAGCUGGGAGCUGACCAGUACAACCACAGUGUUUACUGGUGGACCCUGGGAGCUGACCAGUACAACCCAAGUGUUUACUGGUGGACCCUGGGAGCCGACCAGUAUAACCACAGUGUUUACUGGUGGGAGCUGGGAGCUGACCAGUACAACCACAGUGUUUACUGGUGGACCCUGGGAGCUGCCCAGUACAACCACAGUGUUUACUGGUGGACCCUGGGAGCUGACCAGUACAACCACAGUGUUUACUGGUGGGAGCUGGGAGCUGACCAGUACAACCACAGUGUUUACUGGUGGGAGCUGGGAGCUGACCAGUACAACCACAGUGUUUACUGGUGGACCCUGGGAGCUGCCCAGUACAACCACAGUGUUUACUGGUGGACCCUGGGAGCUGACCAGUACAACCACAGUGUUUACUGGUGGACCCUGGUAGCCGACCAGUACAACCACAGUGUUUACUGGUGGACCCUGGGAGCUGCCCAGUACAACCACAGUGUUUACUGGUGGACCCUGGGAGCUGACCAGUACAACCACAGUGUUUACUGGUGGGAGCUGGGAGCUGACCAGUACAACCACAGUGUUUACUGGUGGGAGCUGGGAGCUGACCAGUACAACCACAGUGUUUACUGGUGGACCCUGGGAGCCGACCAGUGCAACCACAGUGUUUACUGGUGGACCCUGGGAGCCGACCAGUGCAACCACAGUGUUUACUGGUGGGAGCUGGCCAGCUAUUUUCCAUUCUAA